Molecule: unclassified non-coding RNA, 319 nt
Filed under: uncultured fungus
Lineage: Eukaryota; Fungi
Description: sequence contains ITS1
Rfam family: 5.8S ribosomal RNA (bases 1-105)
Source: RNAcentral
GAAAUGCGAUAAGUAAUGUGAAUUGCAGAAUUCAGUGAAUCAUCGAAUCUUUGAACGCACCUUGCGCCUUUUGGUAUUCCGAAAGGCAUGCCUGUUUGAGUGUCAUGAAAUCUCAAUCCUCCUAGGUUUUUGACCUGGUUGGACUUGGACAUGGGCGUCUGCCAGCAAUGGCUCGCCUCAAAUGACUUAGUGGAACAUCCCACAUCAGUGUUAGACGUAAUAAGUUUCGUCUCUCCUUGUGGUGAUGACUGCUCAUAAUCUGCCAUCGCGCACUUUUGACUUUGACCUCAAAUCAGGUAGGGCUACCCGCUGAACUUAA